AAACUAACAAGGAUUCCCCUAGUAACGGCGAGUGAACCGGGAAGAGCUCAAAUUUGAAAUCUGGCGUCCUCAGGGCGUCCGAGUUGUAAUCUAUAGAGGCGUUUUCCGUGCCGGACCGUGUCCAAGUUCCUUGGAACAGGAUAUCAAAGAGGGUGACAAUCCCGUACUUGACACGACGACCGGUGCUCUGUGAUACGUCUUCUACGAGUCGAGUUGUUUGGGAAUGCAGCUCAAAAUGGGUGGUGAGUUCCAUCUAAAGCUAAAUAUUGGCGAGAGACCGAUAGCGAACAAGUACCGUGAGGGAAAGAUGAAAAGCACUUUGGAAAGAGAGUUAAACAGUACGUGAAAUUGUUGAAAGGGAAACGAUUGAAGUCAGUCGUGACCGAGAGGCUCAGCCGGUUCUGCCGGUGUAUUCCCCUCGGUCGGGUCAACAUCAGUUUUGUCCGGUGGAUAAGGGCGGUAGGAAGGUGGCACCCUCGGGUGUGUUAUAGCCUGCCGUCGCAUACAUCGGGUGAGACUGAGGAACGCAGCUCGCCUUUAUGGCCGGGGUUCGCCCACGUCCGAGCUUAGGAUGUUGACAUAAUGGCUUUAAACGAC
RNAcentral lists this ribosomal RNA (597 nucleotides) under Papiliotrema laurentii. RNAcentral describes it as "eukaryotic LSU rRNA". It matches the Rfam family "Eukaryotic large subunit ribosomal RNA", at positions 62 to 648 of the family's 3401-position model. Lineage: Eukaryota; Fungi; Basidiomycota; Tremellomycetes; Tremellales; Rhynchogastremaceae. The record is from RNAcentral.